This is a non-coding RNA of Deltaproteobacteria bacterium, 72 nucleotides long. Lineage: Bacteria; Pseudomonadati; Myxococcota; Myxococcia. The record is from Rfam.
AGGCACGUAGCUCAGUGGGAGAGCGCUUCCUUGACACGGAAGAGGUCGGCAGUUCAAUCCUGCCCGUGCCUA